This 492-nucleotide ribosomal RNA is filed under the name uncultured bacterium. RNAcentral's name for it is "partial 16S ribosomal RNA". It matches the Rfam family "Bacterial small subunit ribosomal RNA", at positions 28 to 507 of the family's 1533-position model. The record is from RNAcentral.
GAUGAACGCUAGCUACAGGCUUAACACAUGCAAGUCGAGGGGAAACGGCAUCGAAAGCUUGCUUUUGAUGGGCGUCGACCGGCGCACGGGUGAGUAACGCGUAUCCAACCUGCCCAUCACUUGGGAAUAACCUUGCGAAAGUAAGACUAAUGCCCAAUGACAUCCCACGAAGGCAUCCGAAUGGGAUUAAAGAUUUAUCGGUGAUGGAUGGGGAUGCGUCUGAUUAGCUUGUUGGCGGGGUGACGGCCCACCAAGGCAACGAUCAGUAGGGGGUCUGAGAGGAAGGUCCCCCACAUUGGAACUGAGACACGGUCCAAACUCCUACGGGAGGCAGCAGUGAGGAAUAUUGGUCAAUGGGCGAGAGCCUGAACCAGCCAAGUAGCGUGCAGGAGGACGGCCCUAUGGGUUGUAAACUGCUUUUAUAAGGGAAUAAAGUGGGUCACGUGUGACUUUUUGCAUGUACCUUAUGAAUAAGGACCGGCUAAUUCCGUG